RNAcentral lists this ribosomal RNA (376 nucleotides) under uncultured bacterium. Its description in RNAcentral is "bacterial SSU rRNA". It matches the Rfam family "Bacterial small subunit ribosomal RNA", at positions 990 to 1366 of the family's 1533-position model. The record is from RNAcentral.
CCUGACAGACUAUGUAAUGUAGAUUUCUCUUCGGAGCAGGGAUGACAGGUGGUGCAUGGUUGUCGUCAGCUCGUGUCGUGAGAUGUUGGGUUAAGUCCCGCAACGAGCGCAACCCCUGUCCUUAGUAGCCAGCAGUUCGGCUGGGCACUCUAGGGAGACUGCCGGGGAAUAACCCGGAGGAAGGUGGGGAUGACGUCAAAUCAUCAUGCCCCUUAUGAUUUGGGCUACACACGUGCUACAAUGGCGUAAACAAAGAGAAGCAGACUCGUGAGGGCGAGCAAAUCUCAAAAAUAACGUCUCAGUUCGGAUUGUAGUCUGCAACUCGACUACAUGAAGCUGGAAUCGCUAUUAAUCGCGAAUCAAAUGUCGCGGUGAA